GACGAACGCUGGCGGCGUGCUUAACACAUGCAAGUCGAACGAAAAGAGGGAAAGAGCUUGCUCUUUCCGGAAUUGAGUGGCAAACGGGGGAGUAACACGUAAACAACCUGCCUUCAUGAUGGGGACAACAGACGGAAACGACUGCUAAUACCGAAUAAGUUCCAAGAGCCGCAUGGCCCAUGGAAGAAAAGGUGGCUUCUACCUGUAAGCUUCUCCUGAAGAGGGGUUUGCGUCUGAUUAGCUGGUUGGAGGGGAACGGCCCACCUGGCUACGAUCAUGAUCUUGGUGGAGGGAGAGCUGCCACUUGUAGCUGAAAUGUUGUGUACUUGUUUGGGUUUGGUUGUUGUGAUUUUCUGUGUUGGUUUAUGUUGGGGUGUUUUUUGUCGGUGGUUUUAGCGUUGUGUUGUUUGUGUGUUUGUUUGGUUAGAUUGGUGGUUGAUUUGACUUGUUGUGUUUUUUGGUUGAUGGUAAU
RNAcentral lists this ribosomal RNA (472 nucleotides) under uncultured Pseudomonas sp. Its description in RNAcentral is "bacterial SSU rRNA". The stretch from base 21 to 349 matches the Rfam family "Bacterial small subunit ribosomal RNA", at positions 48 to 357 of the family's 1533-position model. Lineage: Bacteria; Pseudomonadati; Pseudomonadota; Gammaproteobacteria; Pseudomonadales; Pseudomonadaceae. The record is from RNAcentral.